Molecule: ribosomal RNA, 440 nt
Filed under: uncultured bacterium
Lineage: Bacteria
Description: partial 16S ribosomal RNA
Rfam family: Bacterial small subunit ribosomal RNA
Source: RNAcentral
CCUACGGGGGGCAGCAGUGGGGAAUAUUGCACAAUGGGGGAAACCCUGAUGCAGCGACGCCGCGUGAGUGAAGAAGUAUUUCGGUACGUAAAGCUCUAUCAGCAGGGAAGAAAAUGACGGUACCUGACUAAGAAGCCCCGGCUAACUACGUGCCAGCAGCCGCGGUAAUACGUAGGGGGAAAGCGUUAUCCGGAUUUACUGGGGGUAAAGGGAGCGUAGACGGCAGCGCAAGUCUGGAGUGAAAUCCCAUGGCUUAACCAUGGAACUGCUUUGGAGACUGUGCAGCUAGAGUGCAGGAGAGGUAAGCGGAAUUCCUAGUGUAGCGGUGAAAUGCGUAGAUAUUAGGAGGAACACCAGUGGCGAAGGCGGCUUACUGGACUGUAACUGACGUUGAGGCUCGAAAGCGUGGGGAGCAAACAGGAUUAGAUACCCGGGUAGUC